UGCUUUGUAAAACAUGUCAUUGACAAGAUGUUUUCGAUUUUUCACUUCUUUUAGCACAGAAACAUUAAUAUCACAAAUACACAGGGCAUAAAGUAAGCAUGCCACUCUAAAAUAAUCAAUUGCCUAUUGUUCUCUCAUUCUGAUUUUCAUUUGAUCAAAUGCAGUCUUCCACAGCUUUCCUUGCUUACAGAGUUUUUGCAGUUUAAAAAGUUCAGCAGCCAUCCUUAGGGAAUUUGUUUUUAUGCUUUAUUUAGUUGUGUCACCAAAUAACGGCACUUUAAGAAUAAUUAGAACAAUGCAGAGCAUUUGUAUUAAUUACAUGGAAAUUAUAGGUGAUUAAACCUGUUCUGUAUCUGGAUAUGUCAAUAUGUUUUAAUAUUUUUAUAUGACUGAUUGGAAAAAUGCAAUGCAAAUAAAAAAGUUUAUUUAGCUCAGAAUAAAAAGUGCUGUAAUAAGAGCAGAACAACAUCAAGGAACAAGUUCAUGUAUCAUCUUUGGUUCGGUAUCAUCAUAUCUGCUCCUGAAGAUAGCAGAAGAGAGAAACAAGAGACACCAAGGAGAUUUCAAUACUCAGUGAAUUUGUUGGCAUUUUAUGUAUGAUUAAAUUUAUCUAUUGGGGAGACGGGACAUUCCUAGGACUUUUAUCUUUCCGUUUAUAUCACUAGUUCUAUUUAAACAUCCAAAACUUCAUUUUGGACGGUAACCCCACUUUCUUUAGCGAUACCAGGCUUCAGAAUUUCUUAGGGGCAGCCAAUGACAGCAUUUUUCCUCCAAAUAUUAUAUACCAUAUUUCUGGGAACAGAAUGAGAGAUAAGAAAUAGCAAUAUUCACCCUUUAACUGUGCAGAAAGAUAGCUUUCAGCGCAUAGCAAUGUAAGGUAAGUGUCAAAAAUGCAUCUUAUAUAACAUAAUACUCUUAUAUUAACUGUCUUGAUUAUAAUAAAUGAUCGGGGAGAAAGAUAUCCAAAAAAUAAUUGACCUCAGAAAAGAAAGCAGAGCCUCUUCUUUCAGAGUCUACUUUAGUUAGUCCACUCAGAGUAAUCCCAACAUGCUGUUUUAAACUUUGCACUGAGUAACUCUGUAACUAAAUGGCCUUCUUAUUAGAAAUUACAGGCUUGUAUAAACAAAACAAAGUCCAGAAGGGGGAAAAUGUCAUAAGGACUGAGCAAAGGCCCUUCGGCAGAAGCAAGGAUUAUCAGGGAAUGCAAACACACGAAGACGGUGGUUUAGUAGGCCUACAUUAAAAAACUGCUUGUGUUUAAUAGGCCAUGGGAUAUCCUCUAGCAGUGUUUCUCAGCAAGGUGCCUGGCUGGUUUCUUUUCAUUGGAAUCUUCCUGCCCGUAACUUUACUUCUGUUACUGCUCAUUGCCUACCUCCGGAUCAAGCUUAAAGAAGUGAACAAGCAAUUGUCUCUGGCCAAUAACCCCACAGAUGUUGUCCUCCAGUACCAUGCCAAGUGCAGCAAAUUGAGGAAUUCAAACAGAAAGCAAGAUCAUCAGUAAGAAGAUGACAACUUCUUUAGAGAAUGUCACUUUGGAUGAUUGGUUCAGUUUCAGCUAUUUACUGGGGGGGGGGGAAUUCAAGUGCAGCUUACUGUUAUUUAAAACCCAGGAAAGAUAUUCUGAUAAUGUGAUUAAGAAAGAUUAAAAAAAGAAACCAUUGUUUAAAAUGACUUUUAAUUAUUUUGCUGCUUCUGAUGAAGCCACAGUGUUUUGAGCCUAAUUCAGAAAAUUGCUUCGCCUUCUCUUGGGGGGGGGG
Long non-coding RNA from Crotalus tigris (Tiger rattlesnake), 1757 nucleotides. RefSeq lists it as uncharacterized. Lineage: Eukaryota; Metazoa; Chordata; Lepidosauria; Squamata; Viperidae. The record is from RefSeq and is a predicted model, not a curated record. The transcript has 2 exons.